RNAcentral lists this long non-coding RNA (231 nucleotides) under Mytilus galloprovincialis (Mediterranean mussel). The record is from RNAcentral. Lineage: Eukaryota; Metazoa; Mollusca; Bivalvia; Mytilida; Mytilidae.
GUUUUGCCUAGACUGUGGUGGUGUUUUCCAUGAAACUCAUUAUUAAUUUUCGUUAUAAUAUCUUUUGAGAAAUGGGUUUCUUGUGCCAUUAAAAUGUCACACUUUUGUUGUUGAAACCAUGUGUAUAGUCUAAAGCGUUUUUCUUUCUUUGCUAACCCUUGACAAUUUAAUGAACAAAUAUGAAGAUUUUUAAUGUUCAUAGUAGUUAGUUGUAUUUGUUGUUAUAGGAAA